UACGGGGGGGGGCUAGCGUUGUUCGGAAUUACUGGGCGUAAAGGGCGCGUAGGCGGUCUGCUAAGUUGGAUGUGAAAACUCUGGGCUUAACCCAGAGCCUGCAUUCAAUACUGACAGGCUAGAGUUCUGGAGGGGAUAGCGGAAUUCCUGGUGUAGCGGUGAAAUGCGUAGAUAUCGGGAGGAACACCUGUGGCGAAAGCGGCUCACUGGACCACAACUGACGCUGAUGCGCGAAAGCUAGGGGAGCAAACAGG
This 254-nucleotide ribosomal RNA is filed under the name uncultured bacterium. RNAcentral's name for it is "partial 16S ribosomal RNA". It matches the Rfam family "Bacterial small subunit ribosomal RNA", at positions 524 to 776 of the family's 1533-position model. The record is from RNAcentral.